AACGCACAUUGCGCCCCUUGGUAUUCCGAGGGGCAUGCCUGUUCGAGCGUCAUUAUAACCACUUCAAGCCUCGGCUUGGUAUUGGGGUUCGCGGUCUCGCGGCCCUUAAAACCAGUGGCGGUGCCGUCUGGCUCUAAGCGUAGUAAUUCUCUCGCUACAGGGUCUAGGUGGUUACUUGCCAAAACCCCCCUAUUUUCUAUGGUUGACCUCGGAUCAGGUAGGGAUACCCGCUGAACUUAA
This 240-nucleotide unclassified non-coding RNA is filed under the name uncultured fungus. RNAcentral's name for it is "sequence contains ITS2". The stretch from base 1 to 52 matches the Rfam family "5.8S ribosomal RNA", at positions 103 to 154 of the family's 154-position model. The record is from RNAcentral. Lineage: Eukaryota; Fungi.